Molecule: long non-coding RNA, 3226 nt
Organism: Anastrepha obliqua
Lineage: Eukaryota; Metazoa; Arthropoda; Insecta; Diptera; Tephritidae
Exons: 3
Source: RefSeq, a predicted model, not a curated record
GUCGUGUAUGAACGUAAAAUGUAAGUGAGCGCGUAACAAUGCUCCAACGAAAAAAGGAAAACAAAAAAUUAAGUUAAGCAGUGAAAAACAAUAACAAGCAUAUUGCAAGCAAAUCGACACACAUACACACACGAGCCACUGAAUGACGUCUGUGGCGUGGAGUUGUGCAAGAAAAACAAAAAAAAUACACAAAUAUUUUUAAUAAAUAAAUGAAACACGAGUAUUGUAAUUAAAUACUUUGCUGUUGGAAGAAUUCACAAAAUAAAAGGUUGCAAAUGAAGGAGAAGUAGAAGUAGAAAAGCAAGCGGAGUGUAUUGUAGUGGAGUUAACGAAAACGAAACGCAGUGAUUGUACGAAAGAACGGCGGCGGCGAAGCGGCCGCGACGGUUAUUGUAACGAAAUCGAACGAUUUUUACGAAUCUAAACUAUUUGUGGAAAAUCGUUUAGACAACAGCGAAACGACUCAUCUAACUCAAUGAUUACUUUAAAAUCUAUUGGCAACACCCUCUUCGCCAUAUUCACCAUGCUCCACAGGCAGUGAGCUGUCAAUAAGCCAAAGUGUCAACACCCCAACUGUCAGCUUGUGCAACGGAGGCAAGCGAAAGAGAGAGAGGAAGAUUUAUAUUACCCGAGAGAAUAGUGCGCAUGGAUUGCUAUUCCAGCCCGUUUGAGCGAUUAAUAUUGAAGUAUUGACUAGCAAAAGCGUUUGAGCACUGUGGUGAAUUUGAGCACCCUGAUUUGACAGCUGAGAGCGAAAUUCAAAGCAAGCACUAGUCAUACAUAGCUGCGCAAGAGAGGCGAGCGUAACUGCAGCAAGGCUCGUUUUUCCUGACUUUUCCGCCUGACAAGCCUUGCGAACGUCGAGCCACAGACAGAACUGAGCAGCACAGCGAAGGAAGCUGUCAACGGGAGAAAAAGCGGAUGCAAAUUAAAAACGAUGUGACGCGAAAAACAGCUUUGUGAAGCGUUGGCAAAUAGAAAUUCUAAAACUGAUAGCUGAUGUUGCUUUUGUAGAAUAACUUAAAAAUUUAAGAAAAUUCUUAUUCGAAAUCGUUGAACGCGAAAAAUCUGUGCAAAACGUAAGUAGGUGGGCUAUCAGCAAAAACAGAAAAAAAAAUAUUUUUGGGUGUGAAAACGAAAGUGAAAAUUUAGCACAGAAACGAGAAACGAGUGCGCGCGUACGAGGCGGCGGCGAGUCCUCCCAAGUGACGGCGACCGAUAGGAAAGAAGGCUGUGACGCUGACAGCGACGCGCGUGGAACGUGUGGAACUCAGCAGAUAUCAGCUCGUAUUUAGCCAGCCAAGCAGCACCGCAGUCGACUGGAUAAGCAAGGAUGCUGUGCGUCGCAGCAGCAACUAAGCAAAUACCAACAACAAAUAGUUGGAAAGUGUGCGGUACAGCGGCGUUGACCGCGACACUCGUCUAGCUACCGCAUAGGCAUAGACCACCAGCCUCAACAUCGCGUUACUCCAUAACGCUGGUUGCUGGAGAGACAGGGCACAAAAAAUAAAUUUUCACAUAAGCGACCAUAUGAAAUUAAACCAAAAAAACGCAGCAGCGAAAGUUGACGGCGACAUACUUCAAAUUCCUCACAUACUUAGCAAGUGAGCGUGUGUUUGUGGGUGCUGUGAUUUGUGUGUCACGUGAAUAGAUGUGCAGUGCCUAAAUCUAUCCUUUAAUGCGUUUAAGUGUGCCCGAAACACAUGCCAGUUACGUUUAGCGCCUGCAAGUAUGCUAUAUUCGACAAUUUAGCGUAAAAGCAAACCUAUCGAAUACAAAACAGCUGAGCGGCUGCGACAACGGCAGGUUAACGCCUAAAAGUGUGCUAAACUAUAGCUGGUCACUGAGUGCGUGAAUGCGCGUAUACGGGCAAAAGUAUGCUGAGUAUUAUAUAAAACGAGAAGUAAAGAAAUUUUAGCAAAGCAAAUCAACGCGAAGGCUGUGAGCUGGCAGAUAGCUGCAGCACGAAAACCAGUUUAGAAAAGAAAUUUUCAUUGAAUAGCUAAUUAUAAAGGUUUUGCAACGCACAAAAGUAUGCAAGGCUUUAGAUAGGUAUAAAGAAAUUUUGACUAGAAAGCGGAGAGUAAUUAAUUUGUUAAAACAAAUGCGGAAACAUUGUAACGGGCAAGUGAUUGCGAAUAAAAGUAUGAUCCAAUUGUGAAAUGCGAAAAAGCGAGCAAAAAAAUUGUACAGUGCGCCAUUCAAUAAAGUAGUAGCGUCAAGUCGUGUUAAUCAGCGAAGUAUAUCUGAAAUAUUAAUAGUUUGUGACUGUGUGCGUGCGAAAAGUAGCGAAUCAUUCCACAACACCUAAAACGCUGGAAAGCUGAAUGCGAAAGUGCAAGAAGUUCUUUAAUUUAAAGCAAGAUUCGUAGAUUAGUUUGUGUAAAAGUGCGAAAAUCAUUAAAUUUCCCAAGCGCCUUGAAUGCCGCCGCAAAAUUAUUAAACAAAAAAAUACCAAAAAAAUUAAACGUAUCAGACUUGCUGUAUUGAAACGAAAUUCGUGCAAACAAAAAAAAAGUGUGUGCAUAUACGCACACGCUUAAGCGCCCAAAAGUCUGCUGCGAUUUAAGCAGAAGCAAAGAAAAAAGCAGAAGAGCGAGAAAAGUGACGGCGCUAGCCAAAAUAAAUUCUAUUAAAAAAGUCAUAAAUAACGCAGCAGCACGUUUUUCAACGCUCGUGCUCUUCCAAUCAUCGUGCGAAUGACGCGCCAUAUGAGCCAACUGUGCACAAUUCGCUUGCGCGCUCUCGCCACUCUCACUUACUGAAUGAGUGCGUAAAUUACUGUGACGUCAAAAAUUUAAAUAAAAAGUGUUUUUUCAAUUAUUUUUAUAUUUUUGUUUGUGUACGCCAAAAAGUAGACAAGCAUUGCACGUAAAAUGUGUUGCAGCUUUUUGCCAUUUAAACGCAUAAAUUAUAAUGAAAUUGUAACCGAAUGUCAAGUAAAUACUGAUUAGCUAGUAAUAAUUGUCACAAAACAACAACAAAAGUAAUCGUAGUAGCAUAAACAGCAAUACACAAAUACAAUUUUUGCAGCAAAAUGGAGCAGCCCAGCAUAUUGGUGCGCAUUUUGCACUCAAUUCCACAUGUGAAUUAUACCUUUCAGCGGGUGAAUGACACCUUCAAUCCGGACAGUGAUGUUUAUCUUGAGGUAUGUUGUGACACCAGCAAUAACGAUUUUGGAAGCUUUUUCAAUUGCAAUUUCACGGAGGAAAUAAAUUGGCGCCAG